AACGGCGAGUGAAGCGGUAACAGCUCAAAUUUGAAAUCUGGCCUCACGGUCCGAGUUGUAAUUUGUAGAGGAUGCUUCGAGCAUGGUCUGGCCUAAGUUCCUUGGAACAGGACGUCAUAGAGGGUGAGAAUCCCGUAUGCGGUCAGGUGCCUACGCUCAUGUGAAGCUCCUUCGACGAGUCGAGUUGUUUGGGAAUGCAGCUCAAAAUGGGUGGUAAAUUUCAUCUAAAGCUAAAUAUUGGCCAGAGACCGAUAGCGCACAAGUAGAGUGAUCGAAAGAUGAAAAGCACUUUGGAAAGAGAGUUAAACAGUACGUGAAAUUGUUGAAAGGGAAGCGCUUGCAACCAGACUUGCGCGCGGCCGAUCAUCCGGUGUUCUCACCGGUGCACUCGGCCGUGCUCAGGCCAGCAUCGGUUUCGGCGGUUGGAUAAAGGCCUCAGGAAUGUGGCUCCUCUCGGGGAGUGUUAUAGCCUGGGGUGCAAUGCAGCCUGCUGGGACCGAGGACCGCGCUUCGGCUAGGAUGCUGGCGUAAUGGUUGUAAGCG
This 543-nucleotide ribosomal RNA is filed under the name Pseudogymnoascus sp. RNAcentral describes it as "LSU rRNA". It matches the Rfam family "Eukaryotic large subunit ribosomal RNA", at positions 85 to 646 of the family's 3401-position model. Lineage: Eukaryota; Fungi; Ascomycota; Leotiomycetes; Thelebolales; Thelebolaceae. The record is from RNAcentral.